GUGCCAGCCGCCGCGGUAAUACAGAGGGUGCUAGCGUUGUUCGGAAUUAUUGGGCGUAAAGCGCGUGUAGGCGGCCAUGCCAGUCGGGUGUGAAAGCCCUCGGCUCAACCGAGGAAGUGCGCCCGAAACUACGUGGCUUGAGUUCCGGAGAGGAUGGCGGAAUACCCGGUGUAGAGGUGAAAUUCGUAGAUAUCGGGUGGAACACCAGUGGCGAAGGCGGCCAUCUGGACGGAUACUGACGCUGAGACGCGAAAGCGUGGGGAGCAAACAGGAUUAGAAACCCCCGUAGUCC
This 292-nucleotide ribosomal RNA is filed under the name uncultured bacterium. RNAcentral describes it as "partial 16S ribosomal RNA". It matches the Rfam family "Bacterial small subunit ribosomal RNA", at positions 505 to 796 of the family's 1533-position model. The record is from RNAcentral.